Molecule: ribosomal RNA, 466 nt
Filed under: Vreelandella stevensii
Lineage: Bacteria; Pseudomonadati; Pseudomonadota; Gammaproteobacteria; Oceanospirillales; Halomonadaceae
Description: partial 16S ribosomal RNA
Rfam family: Bacterial small subunit ribosomal RNA
Source: RNAcentral
CCUACGGGAGGCUGCAGUGGGGAAUAUUGGACAAUGGGCGAAAGCCUGAUCCAGCCAUGCCGCGUGUGUGAAGAAGGCCUUCGGGUUGUAAAGCACUUUCAGUGGGGAAGAAAGCCUUGGGGCUAAUACCCUCGAGGAAGGACAUCACCCACAGAAGAAGCACCGGCAAACUCCGUGCACAGCAGCCGCGGUAAUACGGAGGGUGCGAGCGUUAAUCGGAAUUACUGGGCGUAAAGCGCGCGUAGGCGGUCUGAUAAGCCGGUUGUGAAAGCCCCGGGCUCAACCUGGGAACGGCAUCCGGAACUGUCAGGCUAGAGUGCAGGAGAGGAAGGUAGAAUUCCCGGUGUAGCGGUGAAAUGCGUAGAGAUCGGGAGGAAUACCAGUGGCGAAGGCGGCCUUCUGGACUGACACUGACGCUGAGGUGCGAAAGCGUGGGUAGCAAACAGGAUUAGAUACCCGUGUAGUC